RNAcentral lists this long non-coding RNA (6178 nucleotides) under Homo sapiens (human). RNAcentral describes it as "non-protein coding lnc-ASB1-4:1". Lineage: Eukaryota; Metazoa; Chordata; Mammalia; Primates; Hominidae. The record is from RNAcentral.
GUGGCUAAAACAAAUAAAAAUCAUAGCAGGAUCAAAGUACACACACAAAUUUAUUCCUUCUGGAAGCAGCUUCUCUUUCCCUUUCCCCCUCUCUCCUUCCCUUGUUUUCCCCUCCUUUGAGUCCCAGCGAUUCUUUCAUGGCAGAACUCCAGGAUGGCCUCGUCUCCUUGCAGCACAAUCACAGUUUCAUCUCUGAUUGAUGGGGCGAAGGCACCGGCACCGCGGGUUUGAAGGAGAUCUAAGGGCCUUCCUAAUUUCAUGGUGGGCAUGUGAAGUGUCACAUUAAUCAGCGCUCUUUAUGAGCAGUUCAAAGAGUCAUAGAUGUUGGGAAGGUGGCUGUUUGAAGCACAGAGCCAAGGGAUUUCAGGAUUUUAUCAACAACCUGGGGGUUCCACCUCCUCUCCCCAGUGCACCUCUUGCCUGACUGCUGGGUGGAAUUUUACAUGAGAAUCAUACGGAGCUAAAGGAACCUACGAUACCAUCCAGUUCCAACCCAUACUUUACAUAGGAAUCAGCAGAGGCUGGGAGUCUCUCUUGGGGUCACACAGAAAGCCAUCUAGUCUGGAAGCAGUGGGUUAUUCAAGCCUCCUGGUUGCGUGUGACAACUCAAAUGAGGUUAAGCACUGAUAUAGUUUGGCUCUGUGUCCCCAACCAAAUCUCAUGUCGAAUUGUAAUUCCCAGUGUUGGGGAAGUGGGCUGGUUGGAGGUGAUUGGAUCAUGGGGGCAGAUUUCCCCCUUGCAUUCUUGUGAUGGUGAAUGAGUUCUCAGGAGACCUGGUUGUUUGAAAGUGUGUGGCACCUCCCUCUUUGCUCUCUUCCUCCUUCUCCAGACACAUGAAGACGUGCCCGCUUCCCCUUUGCUUUCUGCCAUGAUUGUAAGUUUCCUGAGGCGUCCCCAGCCCUGCAGAACUGUGAGUAAUUUAAACCUCUUUCCUUUAUAAAUUACCCAGUCUCAGGCAGUUCUUCAUAGCAGCAUGAGAAUGGAAUAAAACAGUAAAUUGAUACUGGGUAGUGGGGCGCUGCUAUAAAGAUACUAAAAAACGUGGAAGUGACUUUGGAACUGGGUAACAGGCAGAGGUUGGAACAGUUUGGAGGGCUCAGAAGAAGACAGGAAGAUGUCUUCCAGGAAAGUUGGAACUUCCUAGAGACUUGUUUAAUGGUUUUGACCAAAAUGCUGAUAGUGAUGUGGACAAUGAAGUCCUGGCUGAGGUGGUCUCAGAUGGAGAUGAAGAACUUUUUGGGAACUGGAAUAAAGGUGACUCUUGCUACAUUUUAGCAAAGAGACUGGCAGUAUUUUGCCCUUGCCCUAAAGAUCUGUGGAAUUUUGAACUUGAGAGAGAUGAUUUAGGGUAUCUGGCAGAAGAAAUUUCUGAGCAGCAAAGCAUUCAAGAGGUGACUUGGGUGCUGUUAAAAGCAUUCAGUUUUAUGUACUCACAAAUAUAUGGUUUGGAAUUAAAACUUAUGUUUAAAAGGGAACCAGAACAUAAAACUUAGGAAAAUUUGCAGCCUGAUGAUGCGAUAGAAAAGAAAAACCCAUUUUUGGAGAAGAAAUUCAAGCCAGCUAGAUAAAUUUGCAUCAGUAACGAAAAGCCAAAUGUUAAUCACCAAGACAAUGGGGAAACUGUCUCCAGGGCAUGUCAGAGUUCUUCACAGCAGUCCCUCCCAUCACAGGCCCAGAGGCCUAGGAGGAAAAAAGGGUUUCACGGGCUAGGCCUAGGGCCUUGCUGCUUUGUGUAGUAUAGGGAUUUGGUGAUAGUGAGUUCCAGCUGUGGCUCAAGGGGCCAACAUAGAGCUCAGGCUGUUGCUUCAGAGGGUGCAAGCCCCAAGCCUUGGUGGCUUACACGUGGUCUUGGACCUGUGGGUGUACAGGAGUCAAGAAUUGAGGUUUGGGAACCUCAGCUUAGAUUUCAGAGGAUGUAUGGAAAUACCUGGAUGUACAGGCAGAAGUCUGCUGUAGGGGCAAAGCCCUCAUGGAGAACCUCUGCUAGGGCAUUGAAGAAGGGAGAUGUGGGAUUGGAGCCCCCACAGGGAGUCCCCAUGGGGGUGCUGCCCGGUUGAACUGUGAGAGGAGGGCCACCGUCCUUCAGACCCCAGAAUGGUAGAUCCGCUGACAGCUUGCACUGUGCACCUGGAAAUGCCUCAGACACUCAAUGCCAUCUUGUGAAAGCAAAGCCACAGGGGUGAAGCAGUCCAAGGCCAUGGGAGCCCACCUCUUGCAUCAGCGUGACCUGAUGUGAGACAUGGAGUUGAAGGAGAUUAUUCUGGAACUUUAAGGUUUGGUUACUGCCCUGUUGGAUUUUGGACUUGGGUGGGGCCUGGAGCCUCUUUGUUUUGGCCAAUUUCUCUCAUUUGGAAUGGGUGUAUUUGUCCAAUGCCUGUAUCUCCAUUGUAUCUUGGAAGUAAUUAACUCACUUUUGAUUUUACAGGCUCAUAGGCGAAGGAAUUUGCCUUGUCUCAGAUGAGACUUUAGAUUUGGACUUUGGGGAUAAUGAUGGAAUGAAUUAAGACUUUGGGGGACUGUUGGAAGUACAUAAUUGUGUUUUGAAAUGUGAGGACAUAUUUUAAAGGGACCAUGAAUGGAAUAACAUGUUUUGGCUGUGUCCCACCCAAAUCUCAUCUUGAAUUGUAGUUCUCAUAAUCCCCAUGUGUCAUGGGAGGGACCUGGUGGGAGGUAAUUAAAUCAUGGGGGUGUUUAUUAGUCUGAUCUCACACUGCUAUAAAGAACUGCCCAAGACUGGGUAAUUUAUAAAGAAAGAAGGUUUAAAUGACUCAUAGUUCUGUGGGGCUGAGGAGGCCUCAAACAACUUACAAUCAAAGUGGAAGGAAGUAAACACAUCCUUCUUUACAGGAUGGCAGGAAGGAGAAGUGCCAAGUAAAUGGGGGAAAAGCUCCUUAUAAAACCAUCAGAUCUGAAAACUCACUCACUGUCAUGAAAACAGCAUGGAGGUAACUCCCUCCAUGAUUCAGUUACCUCCCACAGGGUCCCUUCUAUGACAUGUGGGGAUUAUGGGAGCUACAAUUCAAGAUGAGAUUUGGGUGGGGACAUGACCAAACCAUAUCACUGCACCUCAGGGAUGAUCCAAGACACCUCCUGGUACAGUGCUCACACCUCAGGGAUGACCCAAGACAUCUCCUAGUGUAGUGGUCCUACCUCAGGGAUGAUUCAAGACACCUUGUGGUGCAGUGCUCACACUUCAGAAAUGAUCCAAGAAACCUCCUGGUGUAGUGAUCCUACCUCAGGGAUGAUCCAAGACAUCUCCUGGUGCAGUGCUCACACCUCAGGGAUGAUUGAAGACACCUCCUGGUGCAGUGCUCCCACCUCAGGGAUGAUCCAAGACACCUCCUUGUGCAGUGCUCACAAUUCAGGGCUGAUCCAAGACACCUCCUGAUACAGUGCUCACAACUCAGGCAUAAUCCAAGACACCCCCUGGCACAGUACUCCCUUCUUAGGGAUGAGCCAAGACAACUGCUUGUGCAGUGCUCACACCUUAGGCAGAAUCCAAGACACUUGCUGGUGCAGUGUUCUGACCUCAAGGAUGAUAAAAUACACUUCCUGGUGCAGUGCUGACAAUUCAGGCAUCAUCCAAGAGACCUUCUGGUGCGGUGCCUACAUGUCAGGUUUGAUCCAAACAUCUCCUGGUGUAGUGCUCUGACCUCGGGGAUGAUACAAGAUACCUCCUGGUGCAGUACUCACACCUCAGGAAUGAUCCAAGACAACUCCUGGUGCAGUGCUUCCACCUCAGGGAUGAUCCAAGACACCUCGUGGUGUGGUACUCCCACCUCAAAGAUGAUCCAAGACUCCUCUUGGGGUAGUGCUCCCACCUAGGGAUGAUCCAAAACACCUCCUAGUGCAGUGCAUACAUCUCAGGCAUGAUCAAAGACACCUCCUGGUGCAGUGCUCAAGCCUUAGGGAUGAUUCGUGAUGCCUUUUGAUGUAGUGUUCACACUUCAGGGAUGAUCCAAUACACCUUCUGGUGCAGUGCUCCCUCCACAGGGAUGAUACAGGACACCUCCUGGUACAAUGGUCACACCUCAGAAGUUAUUCAAGACAGCUCCUGGUGCAGUGCUCACACCUCAGAGAUGAAUCAAGACACCUGGUGCAGUGCUCACACCUCAGGGAUGAAUCAAGACACCUCCUGGUGUAGUGCUCACACCUCAGGGCUGAUUCAAGACACCUGGUGCAGCACCUGCACCUCAGAAAUGAUUCAAGAUACCUCCUGGUACAGUGCCUGCACCUCAGGGAUGAUCUGAGACAUCUCCUGAUGCAAUGUUCACACCCCAAGGAUGAUCCAAGACACCUACUGGUGCAGUGCUCACACCUCAGCGAUGAUUCACAACACCUCCUGGUGCAGUGCUUACACUUCAGCGACGAUCCAAGACACCUCAUGAUGCAGUGCCUGCACCUCAGAAAUGAUCCAAGACACCUCCUGGUGUAGUGCUCCCUCCUCAGGGAUGAUCCAAGACACCCCUCGUGUAGCGCUCCCACCUAAAGGACGAUCUGAGACAUCUGCUGGUGCAUUGCUUGCAUCUUAGCAAUGAUCCAAGACACCUUCUGGUGCAGUGCUCACAAGUCAGGUUGAUCUAAGACACUUCCUUGUGCAGUGCUUCCACCUCAGCAAUGAUACAAGACACCUCCUGGUGCAGUGAUCCCCCUUCAUGGAUGAUUGAGGACACAUCCUGUUGCAGUGCUCACACCUCAGGGAUGAUCCAAGACACUUCCUGUUGCAGUGCUCACACCUCAGGGUAGAUCCAAGAUACCUCCUGGUGCGCUACACUCUCCUCAAAAAUCAUUCCAGAUACCUCCUGGUGCAGUGCUCACACCUCAGCGAUGAUCCAAGAGAUCUCCUGAUGCAGUGCUCCCACAUCAGGGAUGAUCCAAGACACCUUCUGGUGCACUGCCUCCAUCCCAGGGUUGAUCCAAGACACCUUCUGGUGCAGUGCUUAUACCACAGGGAUGAUCCAAGACACCUCCUGUUGCAACUGAGACAUGAUCCAAGAUGCCUCCUGGUGCAGUGGUCACUUUUCAGCAUGAUUUAAGACACCUCCUGGUGUAGUGCUCAAACCUCAGAGAUGAUUUAAGACACGUCCUGGUGCAGUGCUCACAACUCAGACAUGAUCCAAGACACUUCCUGGUGAGGUGUUCACAUCUCAGGGAUGAUCCAAGAUACCUCCUGGUGAGGUGCUCACACCUCAGGGAUGAAUCAAGACACCUCCUGGUUUAGUGCUCACAAUUCAGGGAUGAUCCUAGAUAUCCUGGUGCAGUGCUCACACUGCAGGCAUGACAUAAGACACUUCUGGGUGCAAUGUUCACACCUCAGGGAUGAUCCAAGACACCUCCUGGUGCAAUGCUCACACCUCAGGGAUGAUCCAAAAUACCUCCUGAUGCAGUGCUCACAACUCAGACAUGAUUCAAAAUAUCUCCUGGUGCAGUGCUCACACUCAGGCAUAAUACAAGAAACCUGGUGCGGUGCUGAGACCUUAUGGAUGACCCCAAACACCUCCUGGUGUAGUGCUCACACUCAGGGAUGAUCCAAGACAAUUCCUGGUACAGUGCUCACACCUCAAGGGUGAUCCAAAACACCUCCUGCUGCAGUGCUCACACUCAGGCAUAAUAUAACAAACCUCCUGGUGUGGUGCUCACACCUUAUAAAUGACCCCAAACACCUGGUGCAGUGCUCACUCUCAGGGAUGAACCAAGACAAUUCCUGGUGCAGUGCUCACACCUCAAGGGUGAUCCAAAACACAUCCUAAUGCAGUGCCCACAGAACUAAGACAUGAUCCAAGGUACAUCCUCGUGAGGUACUCACACUCAUACACCUCCUGUUGCAGUGCUCACACCUCAGGGAUGCUCCAAAACACCUCUUGGUGCAGUGGUCACAACUCAGGCAUGAUCCAAGACAUCUCCUGGUGCAGUGCUCACACCUCAGGGAUGCUCCAAGACACCUCUUGGUGCAGUGAUCACAACUCAGAUGUGAUUUAAGACAUCCCUUGGUGCAGUGAUCACACUCAGACAUGAUCCAAGAUACCUCCUGGUGCAGUGGUCACACCUAAGGAUGAUCCUAAAAAACCACCUGGUACAGUGCUCACACUCAGGCAUGAGCCACGACACCUUCUAAUCCAGUGCUCACACCUCAGGGAUGAUCCAAAACAUCUCCUGAUGCAGUGCUCACAACUCUGGC